CAAGUGUUCCAUUUCUGUCAGUUCACGGCAGAUCCAUGAAGGUGUGUUUACCUUGCUUAAGUUAACAAGAAUUUUUUUUGCAAUUCCUUCUAGUGUAUGGCUGUGCAGAGCUAGCACACUAAACAUGCAAUAUAAGAAAGAGGAGACACAUAUUAAUUUGAUUAUCUUUCAGAAAUUUGCUGUUAGUGCCUCACAUGUUAGUGAAGCUGGUGAACUUUAUUAAAGAAAAUUUGAAUCUUGAUUAAUGUGUGUUUUACAUUACUAUCCAGUUUGUUCAAGUGGGUUGUGUGAUAUAUUUAGGUGGAAAACUUUGGAUUUUCAUCUCUCAAAAGGAGGUUUGUGUGAUUCUUCAAUGUGGAAAAGUCAGAUAUUGUUGUCUUGUGGUGAGCUGAAGAACGUAAAAGAGUUGCAUUCAAUUCCCACAGAGUUUCCACUAGAUUUGGGUGUCAAGUUGUGCUACGCUUAGGAAAACUGAGCAUAUAUAUGUCUUUUAACUUGGCCCCAAGCCCUCAAUUGUUAUUUAUGUCGUCCAACUUUGUGUGUGCACAAGUAGGUACGUAAACUUGUAUAAAGUUGAACAUGUAGACACAUGCGUCCUACGUGACAAUCUGCAUCUUACAUGUAUUAUGUUGCAUAGGAUGUGUGUCUAUUUGUUCAACUUUAUACAAGUUUACAUACCUACUUGUACACACACAAAGUCGGAGGUAUGAAUGUCAACUAACGUCAGGUUUAUGUAUUAUACAUUUAAUAUUUGGUUCUAUGAUCAAAUUUCUAACUUUUAAGACGUAAAUCUUUAGUUUGUAUUGGGUACUCUUACUACUACUCUGGAAACAAGCAACUUUUAUCUUGUGUUUGGAAUAAAACACUUGAAACGUGUAUAUAUUAUAGGUUCCUAUGGUCCAAAUCAGAUUUGUGUCACACCAGUAAUAGUUUUACCUUAAUAGAUCAUUACAAGUACUAUGAAUC
RNAcentral lists this long non-coding RNA (966 nucleotides) under Solanum tuberosum (potato). RNAcentral describes it as "long non-coding RNA (STUB_LNC005895)". Lineage: Eukaryota; Viridiplantae; Streptophyta; Magnoliopsida; Solanales; Solanaceae. The record is from RNAcentral.